This 72-nucleotide transfer RNA is filed under the name Camelus bactrianus (Bactrian camel). It matches the Rfam family "tRNA". Rfam says of the family: Transfer RNA (tRNA) molecules are approximately 80 nucleotides in length. Lineage: Eukaryota; Metazoa; Chordata; Mammalia; Artiodactyla; Camelidae. The record is from Rfam by way of RNAcentral. RNAcentral also lists the same sequence under 2 other names.
GGCCAGUUGGCUCAGUAGUAGAGCGCAUGCUUAGCAUGUGCGAGGUCCUGGGUUCAAUUCCCAGAACCUCCA